AAAGUGAAUAGUGAAAUCUGGCGGCUCAACCGUACAGGCUAUUAUUCAAACUCACUAACUCGAGAAUGGUAGAGGUAACUGGAAUUUCUUGUGUAGGAGUGAAAUCCGUAGAUAUAAGAAGGAACACCAAUGGCGUAGGCAGGUUACUGGACCAUUUCUGACACUGAGGCACGAAAGCGUGGGGAGCGAACCGGAUUAGAUACCCGGGUAGUCCACGCCGUAAACGAUGGAUACUA
This 236-nucleotide ribosomal RNA is filed under the name uncultured Candidatus Saccharibacteria bacterium. RNAcentral's name for it is "partial 16S ribosomal RNA". It matches the Rfam family "Bacterial small subunit ribosomal RNA", at positions 584 to 818 of the family's 1533-position model. Lineage: Bacteria; Candidatus Saccharimonadota. The record is from RNAcentral.